CCGUUUUCUCUUUGGCCGUUGCUUCUCCGGAACUGCAGGAGACGAAUGAGUUGGGCUCAGAUGUUCCUGGCCGCCGGCUUGGUCUGCAACAGGAUGCUCCCCUGCCAUGACUUGCUCACAGGUCCUUCCUUUCGCAUCUUCAAGGUAUGUUGAUUCUUCAAGGUAGAUCAGAGCCUGUUCCAUAUGCAUACAUACAAGCUGGGUUUGAAGUAAGCUUCUGUUCCAGUUGCCGAGCUGAAGUAUCACCCGGAUUUCUGUGACGAUCUUCUGAGGUGCGAAUGCUCUAUUUCUACAGACUGCAGGCGCAAUCUCCUAUUGUAUUGUUAGUGGUGAAUCAGACUAUUUUUUUUUCUCUUUGUGCCAUGAUAUUUCUUUUUAAGUUAGCCAUUACAAUCUUAGAAGCCUUGCAUGACAAAUAUAGCCCUUCAUAUAUUUUGCUUCUGUCAGUAUACUUUUGAUGGCCAUGCCCCAUGAUUGUCAAUAUAUUUUGCUUCUGUCAGUAUAGUCUGCAUAAUAUGUUUGGAUGAAUGUUCUUAUAUGAGAUUUUUGUGGUAAGUAGUUAAAUCACCCGUACCGAGUGUAUAUCUAUUUUGACCUGGUUUGAAGAAUGACCAACUGGGUGGCUUCUCCAACUUUUGGUUCAAUUCAUGGGUAAAUUAAAUAUGUAGCUGUGCAGUUCAUCUUGCAAUUGAG
RNAcentral lists this long non-coding RNA (693 nucleotides) under Triticum aestivum (bread wheat). Its description in RNAcentral is "long non-coding RNA (TAES_LNC011121)". Lineage: Eukaryota; Viridiplantae; Streptophyta; Magnoliopsida; Poales; Poaceae. The record is from RNAcentral.